CCUGAUUUGAGGCCUACUGCGUGCUACUCGAUUCCAGCAAACACUAAAAAGUUCUUUUUGCAGAUGUCGCUCUAUAACUUUGUGGUGGAUCAUCCUAACAUUGCUUUGUGUGACCCCGAAUUAACCGCCUGGUGCUUAAAUUUGCCUUCAGAUUACAGUCAGCUCGUACAAGAUGAAGAAGCGUUUUUCCAUUUUCUGCAAGAACA
Long non-coding RNA from Syngnathus acus (greater pipefish), 206 nucleotides. RefSeq lists it as uncharacterized. The record is from RefSeq and is a predicted model, not a curated record. The transcript is spliced from 3 exons. NCBI's taxonomy places the organism in Eukaryota, Metazoa, Chordata, Actinopteri, Syngnathiformes, Syngnathidae.